This 484-nucleotide ribosomal RNA is filed under the name uncultured bacterium. Its description in RNAcentral is "partial 16S ribosomal RNA". It matches the Rfam family "Bacterial small subunit ribosomal RNA", at positions 29 to 507 of the family's 1533-position model. The record is from RNAcentral.
AUUGAACGCUGGCGGCAUGCUUUACACAUGCAAGUCGAACGGCAGCGCGGGCUUCGGCCUGGCGGCGAGUGGCGAACGGGUGAGUAAUGCAUCGGAACGUGCCCAGUAUUGGGGGAUAGCCCGGCGAAAGCCGGAUUAAUACCGCAUACGACCUGAGGGUGAAAGCGGGGGACCGAAAGGCCUCGCGCUAUUUGAGCGGCCGAUGUCGGAUUAGCUAGUUGGUGGGGUAAAGGCUUACCAAGGCGACGAUCCGUAGCUGGUCUGAGAGGACGACCAGCCACACUGGGACUGAGACACGGCCCAGACUCCUACGGGAGGCAGCAGUGGGGAAUUUUGGACAAUGGGGGCAAGCCUGAUCCAGCCAUGCCGCGUGAGGGAAGAAGGCCUUCGGGUUGUAAACCGCUUUUGUUCGGGAAGAAAUCCUCUGGGCUAAUACCCCGGGGGGAUGACGGUACCGGAAGAAUAAGCACCGGCUAACUACGUG